This 401-nucleotide long non-coding RNA is filed under the name Panax ginseng (ginseng). RNAcentral describes it as "long non-coding RNA (PGIN_LNC014237)". Lineage: Eukaryota; Viridiplantae; Streptophyta; Magnoliopsida; Apiales; Araliaceae. The record is from RNAcentral.
ACAUUUCUCCUCCCUAACUUGUGGUUCGUAACUCAGCUCCUGCAAUUGUGGACGCUGGUGUUGAACGAGUCAUGGGUAACUUUGCCGUACGUAAAUGUGGCAGAGUUUAUCCCCGUUUGACAGGCCUUGAUCUUUACAUGACAUAUCGGCCUAUCUGGUGAUUCAUCGUCUCAAUUCUCCUCGGAAUGAUGAGUCUUAUCGCUACAAGAAUCUACCCCAUAGUCGACGGAGACGGACUAAACGUUGUUGUCUUUGACCUCACGGUCAACGGAGUUCAAGGUCGACGGACAGGACAUGUCCGUCUCAUCUAGAAGCGGAGAUGUGAGGCCAUAGUCGGAGAUGUCCGUGACUAUGAGUGUAUAUUUUAAUAUUAUACUAAUAGAGAAUCGUAUGAAAUUGAG